AGAUGAGAUAUCUUUUGGGGUUGAUGGUUUCACCGCCAUUGGAUUGGGAAGGCCCUCCAACAUUUGCAAUAGACACCUCAUUUAUUUUUGUGGUUGAGAUGAAAUAUUUCAUGAGCUGAUCAUUGAGCACCAUUGGAUUACAAUAGCCCCCCACAGUUUUUGCCAUAUUUUCUCCAAAGCCCUCUUCUGGGGGUUUCUGAUCAAAUCUUCACGAGCUACUUUAAUGGAGGAUUUGGGAUUAAACUUUACAGAGAAGGCAACAAACGGAAAGAGCACCUUUUCAGCCAAAAGCUUGAGGGAUAGAGGAGUAAGAGGAGAGGGCUAGUUUUUGAUUAGGAUAAACAUUCUCUAAUGUAAGUCACUUUCCUCACAAUUAUUUUCUAUUCAUUUUUUUUAAAUUAUUGUAUUUUAGUUCUUUUUUUAUUUUUUUUGUCAUGUAAAUUUGUACUCCUUGAUCCACUGUUGUUACUAAUCUAUCAUCAAUGAUGAGAGUUGAAGAAUUUCCCUUUAUCUUUCCUUUUCUGUAUUCCAAGUUAAUUAUUUGUUAAUAUGUUGUGAGUAAGAUAUUGAGCAUCAACAAACAGCUAUAUGGCAACUCUUUUAAUGAUUUGGAAGUGAAUUGCCGAAUCUGAUUGGAAGAAAUAAUUAAAAAAAAACGUAGGAUAGUCUUGAAUCUAGUUGCUAUAAUUGUGAACAAAUGAUCAACGGAUUAAGGUAAAAAAAAAAAUUUUUUUUGAAAAGAAAAAGUUAAGGUAAAUCAAGAAACAUCCAGUCACAGAAGCCCAUGAUCAGGCACUUGAUCUGGAACCUAUAUAUACUUCCGCUUAGAAAGUGAAAGCCCAUUCCCCUUUAUCCAUCAAAAGUUUCAUUUCACCAAAUAUUACAUGCCACAGGACUUUUUAGUCAAGAAAUCUCUAUAUACCAAAAUGUUCCUUUUCAAAUUGGUUGAAGAAGGAAAAAAAACAUUGCAUGUAGUUUCCAAAAGGCAAUGUAGAGUAAGUCCAAGAAGUACUUGUUACUAUUGUAAGCAUAAUAUUUGCUUCAAACCAACUCAAAAUACAUAUGGAGAUAACCAAUGCAAUAUGGUGUCACUAGCGGAAGAACAAUAAUCAGUAAACAGCUGAUUUCUCAUGUGUUUAUUUAUUUGCAUGGAAAUCUUACUGUUAUGGUUUAAAAUAUCUUCAAAAUCAAGUGGAAAAAUGACUAAAAGGGAUUUUUCCAUCUAUGAUCAAUAUCCUUUUUUGUUUCAAAUGAUCCCUUAGAUCCUUGAUUUUGUCACAGCUAAUGUUGCAUUCAUUUUAGUUUGUGGUACCAGGACUAAAUUCAGUGAAACAGACAGAUUCUGGAGUCAUAAAAAGGAAAAUCAUUCAAAAAUUUUGUGAUUUUCUUUGUGUUUUGAAAAGGAGAAGUAAUUGGCAAUUUGGCAUAUAUCCCUGAGGUAGGAGAAGUGACAAAUUCUAUAAAUGGGCCAGUUUUAGAAAGUCCCUUAAAAAUUUGAGGUUUGGCCCUGUCCCUAGACUGGUAAAGGAUUGUUUUUCCGGGAUUGGGGAUUGACAUACAUUUUAUCAUUUCUCCUCUUAUUAUGGUCAAAGUAUUUCUUUAAUUGAUAUCUCUUUUUUUUUCUUGACUCACGCAUAUCUUUCUACUGUGUCAUUUCUACCUAAUUUGGACUGAUUGAGCAUAAAGAAGCUAAAAUGAGAUGAUUUUCCUCUUUUUUGGCUGCUCAAAGAAACUCAAGUGAUGGCCAGGGAUAAACAAAAAGAAAAAAAACCCCAACUAUGGUUUUUUUUUUAAAUUUUUUUUUAUCAUUAUUAAAAGGGCAACCUCAGCUGUGACAGUUGUAUAUUUGGAGCUGAUUCAGGUUUGUUCUUGUACCACCUUAAUUUGUUUUAAUGCUUAUUUUCCCCUUUGAGGCGUUUACUUGUACUUCAACUCUUCGUGUACAUGUAUGCACACAUGCAUGCAACAAAGACAUGACUAUGGAAAGAACUAAGGGGGCUGGAAUAAAAUCGAUAGCUCAUUCUCAAUUCUUAAUACUAUAGUAAAUUACGAGUGAAAUCAAUAUUAUAUGGCUCACAUCCUGCAAAAAAGAAUAAUGUCGAUACUGUAUUACUGGUAAUUCAAGAAAACACCUAGUUCUAGCUAGUUGGAAGUUGGCAUGGUGCAUGCAGAAUUAGUCUUCAUGGAUUCUUCUUCAGAGCGUCUAUAUACCUCACUUCCAUGAUGUCAUUAUUUGAAAUGAAGUCAAGAAAACCACUGAAGCUCCCUUCUGCGUAGGACAAAGGAUGUUGAUCAUCCACAAGCAGCGGGGCAGGUCCUACCUUCCUCUCUAAGGCUAAACUAUGAAGGCUCGCAAUGGAAAUACGAUCAGUGUCCGAGUUAACCGUA
Molecule: long non-coding RNA, 2388 nt
Filed under: Coffea arabica (coffee)
Lineage: Eukaryota; Viridiplantae; Streptophyta; Magnoliopsida; Gentianales; Rubiaceae
Description: long non-coding RNA (CARA_LNC001700)
Source: RNAcentral